Long non-coding RNA from Ornithodoros turicata, 385 nucleotides. RefSeq lists it as uncharacterized. The transcript is spliced from 4 exons. Lineage: Eukaryota; Metazoa; Arthropoda; Arachnida; Ixodida; Argasidae. The record is from RefSeq and is a predicted model, not a curated record.
CGUACGCAUUGGAACGCAAUAGUGUGAACCGGGCUUUACACUGUUCGACUCUGAAGUAUAUUGCUCGGAUCUGUAUCCAGAUGUGUCAUUCGCAACGCAACAGUGACACGAAAUCUUCCUUUCACGCAUAUAUUCACAUUGACUUCCUUGGUGUGUGGGAUGGAAACAAUUAUUCGAAGCACGAAGGGAGAAUAGGAGAAGAAAUGAGGCUCUGUGAUUGUGCACAAAAUUCGUCCGACAAAUCCUCUGUUCGGUGCCCUACGUUUGUACGAUUUAAUCACCGCACAGGAUAUAGAGUGCUGUUGGAUUACCACUGGCGUCGCGAAACCGGGAAGUUUCAUGCGGUGAUUGUGCACUCAGCGUUCCCGUGGGAUCAUGACGCGAG